UACACCCCGGGCGGACUGGUCGCCAGUCAAUGGCAGCCCACGCACUCACGCCCGAGGAAGAUUCUGUGUCCGACAAAACAAACGUCAAUGCUUUUGGAGACAAAGACUCAAAUGCAAACCGCUACGGGCUGCUAGUCCAGUCCAGUCCGGUCCGGUCCAGUCCAAUGACAAUACGGGCGGUCUAAUAUUAGUCGCCGCCGCGCCAAGUGCCAGCCAGCCAGCCAGUCAGCCAGCCAGCCAAUGCAGACAUGAUCACGGCGAGAGAGAAUCCAGUCGGUUCAAAUGAAAGAUGGAAUGUUUGAUACGGCUCUUGCGUCGGCGAAGACGACAUCAAAUGCCGGAGGAGCUGCACUGCACUCCAGACAUACCCCCAGCCCAGCCCCGGUGUCGCGGAAAUACGACGAGGUGACUGGGAUUUAGUUUUCACAGGGGAAAAAAAAAGGCCCCCCACCCUCAAAUGUUGUGUACAAGUCGUGUUCAUAUAUCAGUGCCUGCAGUUAUGGAUUUUUCACCCCGAGUUUUCUUUGUAUCUUAUCUAUUUAUUUAUUAAUACUGUCAUUGUUUGGAUCAAUUGAUUCCAAAAGUCUAUGCUUUACUAUCGCACUAUUACACAUUGGAAACAAAUUUAGAAACAUAAAAACAAGUAAUGUGCCACAACAUUUGGCGACUUUGUCCGUAUACAGUGAACAUUGGUUUGCAAAUAAAAAUACAGCAGAAUGGACGCAACAAAAAACAAAGGGUGCAAAAGCAACUAUUGUCAUAUGAAAAGACCUUUGAGCGCCGUCCGUAUGCAUGCACAUUACACCUAAUCCACGCCAGAAAAGGUAGAAAACAUUGGGGUGGGGGGGGGCAUGGCACCUCAAAACGGCAAAUAAAAGUGACUGUCAUUUUCAGGAAUAAACGUGAUCAAAUGAGAAAAAAAAAAAAA
Long non-coding RNA from Syngnathus typhle (broad-nosed pipefish), 928 nucleotides. RefSeq lists it as uncharacterized. The record is from RefSeq and is a predicted model, not a curated record. The transcript has 2 exons. Lineage: Eukaryota; Metazoa; Chordata; Actinopteri; Syngnathiformes; Syngnathidae.